CCCCGCACAAUUGUGCGGGGUUUGAAUUCUGUAUUCCUAACCAAGGGGUCUGCUCGUG
Escherichia fergusonii B253 is the source of this 58-nucleotide non-coding RNA. Lineage: Bacteria; Pseudomonadati; Pseudomonadota; Gammaproteobacteria; Enterobacterales; Enterobacteriaceae. The record is from Rfam.